GGUGAGUAACACGUGGGUAAUCUGCCCUCGGUUCCGGGAUAGCCCGGGGAAACCCGGAUUAAUACCGGAUGGCCUUUCGAGCUCACGAGCUCGUAAGAAAAGGUAGCUUCGGCCUCCGACCGAGGAUGAGCCCGCGGCCGAUUAGCUUGUUGGUGGGGUAACGGCUCACCAAGGCGACGAUCGGUAGCUGGUCUGAGAGGAUGAUCAGCCACACUGGGACUGAGACACGGCCCAGACUCCUACGGGAGGCAGCAGUGGGGAAUCUUGCGCAAUGGGCGAAAGCCUGACGCAGCGACGCCGUGUGCGGGAAGAAGGCCUUCGGGUUGUAAACCGCUUUCAGGAGGGACGAAGCCACUCGGGUUAAUAGCCCAGAGGGUGACGGU
This 383-nucleotide ribosomal RNA is filed under the name uncultured bacterium. RNAcentral's name for it is "bacterial SSU rRNA". It matches the Rfam family "Bacterial small subunit ribosomal RNA", at positions 105 to 476 of the family's 1533-position model. The record is from RNAcentral.